UGUAAUUUUUUUCCCUCAAAAUAUGAUGAUGAUGAUAAUUUAUCACAACUAGAAAGAAAGGUCGUGACAGUGAUUAAAGAAGGCAAAAUUCAGUGGGGGCUACAAAAAUUGUAGGUGUAGUUACAAUAUCCCUAUAUAUAGAGAGAGCAUGAGCAGAGUUGAAAUGGGUUUUUGGGGUGUUUUUAUUUUUCGUCUUCACCUCAGUUACAAAAAUGAGUUGUGAAUGAGAACUGAAAAACCCUAAAAUUCUCCCUUGAAGGAGCUCCCUUUUACAAUCCAAAUCCUAGAUAAGGUCUUCUAAGAUACUCUUUUCAACUACGUUUCACUUCUAUUUCUUCUUCCAACGUUUGUUCUACAAUUAAGAAAACCCGUCAGAGUUUGACAUCAAAUGAUGAGGUUAUAGUUUUGAACUUGGAUUACAAAAUUGAUAUUAUAUGUUACAAAUCCAAAGGUAAGUGCAAUCAUGCUCGGGGCUAGCUCAACCUACUAGGGUUGUAAAACAUUAUGAUAUGAAUCGAUUUAUAUGAAAUUUGAGAUAUGAUUAUCCGAAGAUUUGUAUAAGAUCUAUGGAUUUUGAAAAGAAAGCUUUUGAUAUAUAUAAUGGAUGUAGUCACAACUGCUCCAGAUUUGAGGAAUACUUUAUAUAGAAGGAGGAGUCGAUUUUAUAAGAGAGUUAGAAAACUUUGAUAAGACUAUUUCAGUUUCAUGCGAUCACCCAUUUGUUAGUUGAGAAGCAUGAAAUUAAACCACCAAGUUCAAAUUUUGGAUUUCUUGAUGGAUAAUUAUUGAAAUUUGAAACAUCUUGAUAAUACUAGUGAAUGUAACAAUGAACAUUCAAUUUUUCAUUCA
Long non-coding RNA from Mangifera indica (mango), 849 nucleotides. RefSeq lists it as uncharacterized. The record is from RefSeq and is a predicted model, not a curated record. NCBI's taxonomy places the organism in Eukaryota, Viridiplantae, Streptophyta, Magnoliopsida, Sapindales, Anacardiaceae. The transcript has 3 exons.